RNAcentral lists this ribosomal RNA (413 nucleotides) under uncultured bacterium. RNAcentral describes it as "bacterial SSU rRNA". It matches the Rfam family "Bacterial small subunit ribosomal RNA", at positions 505 to 916 of the family's 1533-position model. The record is from RNAcentral.
GUGCCAGCAGCCGCGGUAAUACGUAGGGGGCGAGCGUUGUCCGGAAUUACUGGGCGUAAAGCGCGCGUAGGCGGUUCGGUAAGUCGGUUGUGGAAGCCCCGAGCUCAACUCGGGAAUGGCGACCGAAACUGCUGAACUAGAGUUCGGUAGGGGGUGCUGGAAUUCCCGGUGUAGCGGUGAAAUGCAUAGAUAUCGGGAGGAACACCUGUGGCGAAGGCGAGCACCUGGGCCGAUACUGACGCUGAGGCGCGAAAGCUAGGGGAGCAAACCGGAUUAGAUACCCGGGUAGUCCUAGCCCUAAACGAUGGAUACUUGGUGCUGCGGGUGUCGACCCCUGCAGUGCCUUAGCUAACGCGUUAAGUACCCCGCCUGGGGAGUACGGUCGCAAGGCGGAAACUCAAAUGAAUUGACGG